AGGCCUGUCAAAGAACAAAAGAUGAGAUUACUGGGGCGGCAAGGUGCCCCAAACGGCCUGGGAACUGCGCCUCCGCACUUCCUGUUAACUUGCCGCCAAGUUUUUCUAGAGGAGUCGCUCCUUUUGGCCGGGUAGAUCUACUGGGUUCUUGGCACAGUACCAUAUGGACCUGGACAAAGCAUUGUUAAGAUUGUAACCAAUGUGAAGAUUGUCAGAAUUCACAGAAGCACAACAUACGGCCUACCGGGGCUUUACUCUCGUGCGACUGAACAAGCAAAAUCUUUGGGCUUCAGUUUUUCAUCAUCUAUUACAUGAUGCUAAUAUUCCCCUUUACAUUUCUUAAAAAUUCUCAAAUGAGAGGAGUGCCUAGGUGGCUCAGUCAGGUAAGUGUCUGACUCUUGAUUUCAGCUCAGG
Molecule: long non-coding RNA, 414 nt
Organism: Mustela lutreola (European mink)
Lineage: Eukaryota; Metazoa; Chordata; Mammalia; Carnivora; Mustelidae
Exons: 3
Source: RefSeq, a predicted model, not a curated record